Molecule: ribosomal RNA, 305 nt
Filed under: uncultured bacterium
Lineage: Bacteria
Description: partial 16S ribosomal RNA
Rfam family: Bacterial small subunit ribosomal RNA
Source: RNAcentral
ACAGCAGUAGCCACGGUAAUACGUAGGGUGCGAGCGUUAAUCGGAAUUACUGGGCGUAAAGCGUGCGCAGGCGGUUAUAUAAGACAGAUGUGAAAUCCCCGGGCUCAACCUGGGACCUGCAUUUGUGACUGUAUAGCUAGAGUACGGUAGAGGGGGAUGGAAUUCCGCGUGUAGCAGUGAAGUGCGUAGAUAUGCGGAGGAACACCGAUGGCGAAGGCAAUCCCCUGGACCUGUACUGACGCUCAUGCACGAAAGCGUGGGGAGCAAACAGGAUUAGAUACCCCAGUAGUCCCUGUCUCUUAUAC